This 537-nucleotide ribosomal RNA is filed under the name uncultured bacterium. RNAcentral's name for it is "partial 16S ribosomal RNA". It matches the Rfam family "Bacterial small subunit ribosomal RNA", at positions 355 to 904 of the family's 1533-position model. The record is from RNAcentral.
UGGGGAAUAUUGCACAAUGGGCGAAAGCCUGAUGCAGCAACGCCGCGUGAGUGAUGAAGGCCUUCGGGUUGUAAAGCUCUGUCUUUUGGGACGAUAAUGACGGUACCAAAGGAGGAAGCCACGGCUAACUACGUGCCAGCAGCCGCGGUAAUACGUAGGUGGCAAGCGUUGUCCGGAUUUACUGGGCGUAAAGGAUGCGUAGGCGGAUUUUUAAGUGAGAUGUGAAAACCCUAAGCUUAACUUGGGGACUGCAUUUCAUACUGGAAAUCUAGAGUGCGGGAGAGGAGAAUGGAAUUCCUAGUGUAGCGGUGAAAUGCGUAGAGAUUAGGAAGAACACCAGUGGCGAAGGCGAUUCUCUGGACCGUAACUGACGCUGAGGCAUGAAAGCGUGGGUAGCAAAACAGGAUUAGAUACCCUGGUAGUCCACGCCGUAAACGAUGAGUACUAGGUGUAGGAGGUAUCGACCCCUUCUGUGCCGCAGUUAAACACAAAUAAGUACUCCGCCUGGGAAGUACGAUCGCAAGAUUAAAAACUUAA